UCGUUAGCUCAGUUGGUAGAGCAGUUGACUUUUAAUCAAUUGGUCGCAGGUUCGAAUCCC
Molecule: transfer RNA, 60 nt
Filed under: Yersinia massiliensis
Lineage: Bacteria; Pseudomonadati; Pseudomonadota; Gammaproteobacteria; Enterobacterales; Yersiniaceae
Rfam family: tRNA
About the family: Transfer RNA (tRNA) molecules are approximately 80 nucleotides in length. Their secondary structure includes four short double-helical elements and three loops (D, anti-codon, and T loops). Further hydrogen bonds mediate the characteristic L-shaped molecular structure. tRNAs have two regions of fundamental functional importance: the anti-codon, which is responsible for specific mRNA codon recognition, and the 3' end, to which the tRNAs corresponding amino acid is attached (by aminoacyl-tRNA synthetases). tRNAs cope with the degeneracy of the genetic code in two manners: having more than one tRNA (with a specific anti-codon) for a particular amino acid; and 'wobble' base-pairing, i.e. permitting non-standard base-pairing at the 3rd anti-codon position.
Source: RNAcentral